CUGGCUCAGGAUUAACGCUGGCGGCGUGCCUAAUACAUGCAAGUCGAAUGGUAGCAAUACCAUGGCGAACGGGUGAGUAACACGUAGGUAACCUGUCUUAAGCCGAGGAUAACCAUUGGAAACGAUGGAUAAUACUGGAUAGGACAUUUGAAGGCAUCUUUAGAUGUUUAAAGAUUUAUCACUUAGAGAGGGGCCUGCGGCGCAUUAGCUAGUUGGUGAGGUGAAGGCUUACCAAGGCGAUGAUGCGUAGCCGGACUGAGAGGUUGAACGGCCACAAUGGAACUGAGAACGGUCCAUACUCCUACGGGAGGCAGCAGUAGGGGGUUUUCGGCAAUGGGGGAAACCCUGACCGAGCAACACCGCGUGAGUGAUUGAAGGUCUUCGGAUCGUAAAGCUCUGUUACGAGGGACGAAUGAUCGCUUUAGGAAAUGAGAGCGGUUUGACGGUACCUCGCCAGAAAGCGACGGCUAACUACGUGCCAGCCGCGGC
RNAcentral lists this ribosomal RNA (489 nucleotides) under uncultured bacterium. Its description in RNAcentral is "bacterial SSU rRNA". It matches the Rfam family "Bacterial small subunit ribosomal RNA", at positions 19 to 518 of the family's 1533-position model. The record is from RNAcentral.